AAUGUAUGGGGAUCUGCCCGAUAGAGGGGGAUAACUACUGGAAACGGUGGCUAAUACCGCAUAAUGUCUACGGACCAAAGCAGGGGCUCUUCGGACCUUGCACUAUCGGAUGAACCCAUAUGGGAUUAGCUAGUAGGUGGGGUAAAGGCUCACCUAGGCGACGAUCUCUAGCUGGUCUGAGAGGAUGAUCAGCCACACUGGGACUGAGACACGGCCCAG
RNAcentral lists this ribosomal RNA (219 nucleotides) under uncultured bacterium. RNAcentral's name for it is "partial 16S ribosomal RNA". It matches the Rfam family "Bacterial small subunit ribosomal RNA", at positions 112 to 334 of the family's 1533-position model. The record is from RNAcentral.